This 393-nucleotide ribosomal RNA is filed under the name uncultured bacterium. Its description in RNAcentral is "partial 16S ribosomal RNA". It matches the Rfam family "Bacterial small subunit ribosomal RNA", at positions 523 to 918 of the family's 1533-position model. The record is from RNAcentral.
AUACGGAAGGUCCGGGCGUUAUCCGGAUUUAUUGGGUUUAAAGGGAGCGCAGGCCGAUUAUUAAGCGUGACGUGAAAUGUAGAUGCUCAACAUCUGAACUGCGUCGCGAACUGGUAGUCUUGAGUGAGUUCGAUGUGGGCGGAAUUCGUGGUGUAGCGGUGAAAUGCUUAGAUAUCACGAAGAACUCCGAUUGCGAAGGCAGCCCACAAGGCCUUUACUGACGCUAAAGCUCGAAGGUGCGGGUAUCGAACAGGAUUAGAUACCCUGGUAGUCCGCACGGUAAACGAUGGAUGCCCGCUGUUUGCGAUAUACUGUGAGCGGCCAAGAGAAAUCGUUAAGCAUCCCACCUGGGGAGUACGCCGGCAACGGUGAAACUCAAAGGAAUUGACGGGG